UCGCCUCAUAUUACUUGCACAUUAUAACCCGCAAUAGCGACCUUACAAUGCGUAGGCUGCUAGUGCACGGAGGCCUCCCUGUAUGUCGUUCGUGCCUAUUUCCUAUGCAAUUUUACGUGCAUUGUAGUACAGUACGUACGAGCCGGGCCAGCUUCUAGCGGAAUAUAUACCCGGUUUGAUCGCAAGCCAGGAGUCGUACUCGGCAUGCAGAUAAACCGCCUGGUUUGCGGGGAAGGUACAUACAACAUCAUGGCAAAGUUAGACAGCUAGAAUCAAGAUUUCCUCGGCCUGAAAUAAAUCGUCAAACCUGCCGAUUGGAUUGUAAUUUCGGAAAUCUUCUCCUGCUUUCCGUCUGGCCUGCCUUCACAACGUUGGGCUGCGUAUAUUUAUACAGAAAUUUUCCUACCGGCGGGUACGGCUAUACUCGCGAGCGAGCUUACUGAGUGUGUGUGUUUCGGAGUGUGUGGUUAGCACUGCAUGUAUUUCUCUGUAUCUGCACGCACUGAGAAAGGCCUUGGAUCGUAUCGACUGUAGUCUACGUGGGAAUAAAUUUUGCAGGCAGCGAAUUAUCUCUGCGAUAUCGUCGUAUACAGAAGCCGUUCCUCUACCGUCUACGUCUAUCUCUCUCUCCCAUCGUUUGUGCAUAACAAGCCUACGACUUCUAUCCGAAUCGAGGGGUAAAUUACUGCAGCAAGAUGGCGGAUCUAGAAGCCGUUUUGGCGGAUGUGAGCUACCUUAUGGCGAUGGAGAAGAGUAAAUCUACUCCGGCUGCCAGGGCAAGCAAGAAGCUGGUUCUUCCUGACCCGAGUGUAAGAACAGUGAUGUACAAAUACUUGGAGGAAAGGAAAGAAAUCACAUUUGAAAAGAUCUUUGGACAAAAGCUUGGAUAUCUUCUGUUCAAAGACUACUGUGAGAAUUGCGCAGAUGUGCAAGUCCAGCAACUGCAAUUCUAUGAAGCGAUCAAAGAUUACGAAAAACUUGACACCCUUGAUGAAAGGCUAGAAGAAGCCAGAAGAAUCUUUGAUAACUACAUCAUGAAGGAAGUCUUAUCAUGUACACAUCAAUUCUCAAAGUCAGCAGUAGAAAACGUGAGACAAAGACUGACCAACCAAGAAGCCAAACCAGACCUCUUUAGUGACUACAUAACUGAAAUCCUCAAUUCACUGAAAGGAGAAAUAUUUCAGAAAUUUUUAGAAAGUGAUAAGUUUACUAGGUUUUGCCAGUGGAAAAAUGUAGAACUAAAUAUAAAUGGCAUGUUGUCAAUGAAUGACUUCAGUGUACACAGAAUAAUUGGCAGGGGUGGCUUUGGAGAAGUUUACGGGUGCCGCAAGGCUGACACCGGCAAAAUGUAUGCAAUGAAAUGCCUGGAUAAGAAGCGGAUAAAGAUGAAGUCUGGAGAAACACUUGCCCUCAACGAAAGAAUAAUGCUUUCUCUAGUCAGUGAGACUGAUUGUCCGUUCAUCGUGUGCAUGACGUAUGCAUUCCAAACACCAGAUAAACUCUGUUUUAUUCUAGAUCUUAUGAAUGGUGGAGACCUCCACUACCACUUGUCACAGCACGGUGUAUUCUCAGAGGAAGAGGUUGGCUUCUACGCAGCAGAGAUCAUCUUGGGUCUAGAGCACAUGCAUGUCCGUAACGUGGUCUACCGUGACCUCAAGCCUGCUAACAUCCUACUCGAUGAGAAUGGUCAUGUCCGUAUCUCGGAUCUCGGUCUGGCCUGCGACUUCUCGUCGAAGAAACCACACGCCAGUGUAGGUACCCAUGGUUACAUGGCCCCUGAAGUACUGUCCAAAGGAACUGCCUACGACUCCAGCGCUGACUGGUUCUCAUUAGGAUGUAUGUUGUUCAAGCUACUCCAUGGGCACAGUCCGUUCAGGCAGCACAAGACGAAAGACAAGCAUGAGAUUGAUCGGAUGACAUUGACCAUGGAUGUUGAGUUCCCAGACAAGAUGAGUGAUGAGAUGCGAGCAUUACUAGCAGGUCUACUACAGAGAGAGGUAGCAAGCAGGUUAGGCUGUGAAGGCAGAGGGGCAACAGAAGUGAGAGAGCACCCCUUCUUCAAGACUACAGACUGGAACCAAGUAUACUAUCAAAAGGUACAACCUCCCCUCAUACCACCCAGAGGUGAAGUCAACGCUGCGGAUGCCUUCGAUAUCGGAUCCUUUGAUGAGGACGACGUUAAGGGGAUCAAGCUAUCAGAAUCAGACCAGGAGCUCUAUAAGAAUUUCCCCGUCACCAUCUCAGAGAGAUGGCAGCAGGAGAUCGCUGAGACGAUAUUUGAGACGGUCAACCAGGAGCACGACAAGCUAGAGAUGAAACGCAAGGCCAAGAAGAUGGACGAAGGAAUCUAUGCUAUGGGCAAGGACUGUAUAAUGCAUGGCAUCCUCCACAGACUGGGUGGCCCAUUCCUCAACACAUGGCAGAAGCGUUACUUCUAUCUGUUCCCUAACAGGUUGGAAUGGUCUGGUGACGGUGACAGGGGACCAAGUCAGCAAAAUGUGAUAGCCUUGGAAGAUGUGCUGACUGUAGAGGAAUCAAUGAUCAAGGGCAACAAGAGUAUCACAUUGAAGAUGAAAGCUGGUAAACCAUGCAUUCUACGAGCAGAGUCUGAGCCAGAGUAUGUGCAGUGGUUCAAAGACAUCCGCAGCACGUUUGAUGAGGCGCAGCGUAUGCUGAGGAAAGGACCCAAGAUGUUUGCGACCCAAGGUUCGUCUACUGAUAUCAUGCGCCAUCAUCCCCCUCUCGGCCAGCGCAACAGCAAUGGCCCCCACUAACCAACCCCUAACCCCCUCCCCCACCCCCCUUAACCAUCCCCUAUAACCUCCACCACCAUCAUAUAAAUACCACUUGCUACGUUAACCCAUUAACGCCUGACUUCUCUAAUACCCAUAGGCUUUGAUACAUAAGCCAUCUGGUUCCCAUAGACAAUCAAGUUACCAUGACACCAGUAACAACAACAAAAAAGCCCUCUAAAUCUGGCUCAUCAAUGUAAUAUAUUGUUUUUGGUUAAAGAUUUAUUGAUAAUAUCAAGAAAGAUGUUGACAUUACCCUGCUGAUCUUGACAAUUUACUACUGAUCGAUCAGUCUCCUCAAGCCUCCUAACGAUUGUUUACACAUUUACUUCGGGAGAAAUAUCCCAAAUUUAUAUUUCAAUGAUGAGAAAUCUGUACAUAUAUUCAGACAAGUUUCUCACAAUACUACUUUCUUAAUUAAUACUGUGUGGUUUAAAGAUAAUUCUGGUGUGAAUCGAUCUAACUGCUGCUUUAUAAAAUAUUUAAAAUUUAAAUGUCAUUUGUUCUGGUGCACCAACAUUACUAAUCUUUCUUAUCCACUUCCAGAUCAAUAACAAUUAUAACCAUCCAUUGCCUAUGUUUUUAAAAUCACUUAAAUAAAAAUUGCUUUUCAGAUCAUGUGACUAAUCCUAAACCCAUUGUUAAUCCUAAGCUGACUUAAUCCACAUUACGAUAAGAAAUGUGAAAUCCUUGAUUAUUUUACUUUCCUUGCAAGUUUUGAGCAGAUUCAGACAAACUGACUUGCCUGACAUACCAUCUUGACUCAUUUUGUUUUUGCUGAUGUGACAUUUGCAAAGUUGAAAAAUGAAUUGUUUGAAACCUUUUCGUUCCUGCAAAUUUAAGGUGAUGAUGGAAACAGCCGAUGCCAACGAUACUUUAAUACCUUGAAUAAAAUUUAAAUUGGAGAACCUGAUUUAAGAGGUCCAGUUUGGUUAUAUUUCAUUGACCUUGUUUUGUGAUUUGAAGAAGCCAGAUCCAUAAAGCAAACUCACCAGGACCUGUCCAAAUUUGUGUUCAUUAUGAGAAGAAAAAAAUAUUAAAAGUAGAUUAGAAAACAACUUUCAAAAUUUAAAAAAAAUGUACUUUUUGUUUUUAAUACGUAAGGGACCUAAGGCGCUUAUAUAUUUGGACAACGAUAAAGAAACCUGUGUUUGCUAAGCCUAUAAUGAGAACUAUAGUUGCCUUUGUAUAAAGAAAACAAAAUUAUUUAGAGCAGUAUUAGUUUCAUUGUUGUGUGUUUUAAUGGAUUAGCAAUGUUUCUACUCAUGAUACAGAGAGAGGUUUGCAUUUUCUGAUAAGAGGUUGUUUAGAAAAUGUAAGGAUGGAUUUUUUUUUUCCAGGACUGGAAAGAACUAUUAAUUUGAUAAUCCCGUUUUGUGGAUAAAGCGACUGUAGCUGUAAUUUUGAUCUUAGCAGUAAAAUUAGAUAGUAUUGAUAUGUACUACACAGAGUUGUGAUCAUCAGCGCAAUAGGCAAACAUUCAUGUUCAAAACAUGUUAUAGCUGGAUAAUUUUGUUCACAUCCCUUGAUGAAAUUGAGAGAGUUUUCACUAAUAUAUUCUUGAUACUAGGGAAUGUUGCUAGGUGUGUGCUACAGCCAUGAUAACUACUGCUACUGCGUCAUACUUCGGAAACCAGCAAAUUUUAUGAAAACUUGGUAUUAAUGUUUUAUUACUUUUGACAAAGUAGAGAGAGUUAGCUUGCAGUUUCAAUCAAAAUAUAUAUUCUGUAGUAUGAAUUGUAUUAAUUAUAAGUUUUGGCAUUUUUCUUGUUUUCUAUCAAAUCUGAAAAAUGGAGUCAAACAAUUGCCUCUUUUUUGUGUGAAUAUCUAAUUAUGUAACAUGAAGUUAUUACAAAAGAAUAUCAUUUUGGGGGUAUUUUUUUAGUCUUGUGCUAGAGAUGCUUAGUGUGUGUAAUAUGAGGGGAACAAAUGAAUAACCUCUAUACGUGUAAAAUUCAAACAGAAAAACUAUUGUGAGUGUGCUACUAUACGGAAGAAAAAAAUGAAGUGUGAAUAUAGAUAUGUUCACAGGAAGACGCCGGUAGUCAAGUCAUGAAUUUAUUUGCUUUAAAUGAUGACGAUUGCAAAUCGUGCUGUGCACAAUAUAUAUAUAUAUAAAUAUUAUCCUUUUCAUCAAUGCCUCGAUGUAGAACUAUAGGUGAGGAAAGAAGAUUGUUUUCAAUGGUGCAUGGCUUUGUACAAUGAAAUGGCAUACAAUGUAAAAAAAAAAUGGAAGGGAGAUGAGUGUACGUUAUUAAUUAGAAUGUGGUCGUUAGAGAUCACAUAUUUGUAAUGAUGAAAGAUAUUGUGUAUUUAUCACCUAAAGGUAUGAUGAAUAAUUGCUUACUUGUAUGAAAAAGAAACUACAAAAAAGAGGAAAAUUGUAUGUUUUUAUAGAGAUGUAAUCACUAACUUUGUGUGCAUAUUUUCUUUUUUUGUUUACAUAAUUAUACUAACAAGGUUUGAAUUGAAGAAUUAUAGAGAAACAACGUAGGUAUUUAACCAUUUGUGGAAGUCUUAUUCUCUCUUUUUGCUUUGUAUACUACAAAUUUGCACUUUUGAAGAUUUCAUGUUUGAAAUUGUAAAUGAGAGCGCACAGUUCUAUCACCUAUGUCUGUAGCUUGUUGAAUAAUAAUAAUAAUAAUAAUAAUAAUAGUAGUAGUAUACAAAAAGAGUUAUAAAAGAAUGAAGAAUUGUUCAAAACAUGACUGUAUAUCUGCACCCAAGCGAGCUUAUGUCUAGUAGCCACUUCUUACCGCUUCUUUCUUACCCUCUAUCUCUCUCUCUCUCUCUGUCUCUCUCUCUCUCUUUUGAUAUUCUCACAACAACAAAAAUCAAACUAUUUAUACAGAAGGUUAUAUGUAAGUUAGUCACAAAAACAACAACAAAAAUCUUCUUUUACCAGAGUUGAUGAAGGUUCCUUUCUGUGGACAAUAUUUAGUGUGCAAACUAUUUUUAGGCCAUUGUGGAAGAAAUAUAGCUUGAGGAAAGUGUAACUUCCUCGCCAGGCAGUUUUAUCUUUUAAAUCGAUAUUGAGACCUUUAGUUCUUAGACCUCUUUUCUUUUUUUUUGUAAUAUGUACUUUUGAAUAUUUUGCGAGGCACCUAUAUUUGCUACGAUAUUUUUAGCAAAUGAAAAUAAAAUGUUGUCUUGAAAUUGUAAUGUAAUUGAUGUGAACUGUAAAAAAGAAAAAAGGAAAAAAAAAAUCAGAAGCAAAUCAUGUUAAGUUGAUGAACUCUUUCCUAAUGCUGAUGUAGCACAACUAUUGUCUUAAUUUCUGGUUGUGUCUCUGUUUUUUUGUUUUUUUAAAUAUGUAUACUAUGAAGAAGAAAAUGUCUUGGAUCUACUAUGUUGUUUGUGUACAAUACUUUUCAAUGUUGUGGUUGAUUUGGAAGCUGUAGGAUUUAUAAGAUCUAAAAGACAUUUUGGUUUCAGUUUGAAUAGUUACAAGCACUUCUUUGUCCAAUUUCUUUGUUUUUAAAGGCAAUGUGUACCCAUGGAAGCUGUGAUUCCUCAAUAAUCCCUAAACUAGUACCAUUUGUUGUUUGUUUUAAAUUUGGGGGGUCAUUUAAGCGAUAUCUGCUUAAAAAAUGAAAGAAGACUGCAGUGGUUAACAUAACCACAUGCAGUUGAUUUCUGUGAGUUGAAAAAAAAUGAAAAAAAUGAUCCUGUGUUUAUAUAUAUGUACUUUGAACAGAGUUUUUUUUAGCAUACUUUGUGAUGAUUUUAAUCUUUAUUGAAUGUAAAUGUUGGAUUAUGGUGUGUUUAAUACAGACUCUCUCCAAUUUAACCACCAACUGGCUGGUCGGAUGAAUUUGAUAGGGAGCAAUUCAAAUGGCUCUUGACAAAAUAUUUAAAACAUACAAAGAAGAAAGAAAGUAGAAUGUAGAAUCAAGUUGCUUGUUUAAACUCACCUCACCGUAAGAGUGAGAUGGAGACAAAUAUCUGCCAAGUCUUAUCUUGUGUGUUUCUGAUGCAAGCCCCCUAAAGCCAUAAUCGAAUCGCGCACACUGGGACUGCGUGAGAGGGUGUACAGCAAUGCAUUCUGGCUACUGGCAUGCAUUACAAGGGCAGAGGAGUAGCACAGGAGAGCUAACACAUUAUACAUCAUCCCCCCCACCCCACCCCCUCUAAGGAUCACCCUCUCUGACUUGACUUCUCCCUCUCCUACCAGCCCCACCCCUCCUGUACGUCUGGGGAGCUUCUGGUUACACCCCUGCUGGUAUAAACACUCAAGAUCAUGAAACAGAUGAGAAAGGGCGUGGCAUGGCACAAAACGCAUCGUUGUUGGAAGAGAGUCUUGGAUCGGAAUAUGAUUGCUCAAAGUGGGCUUGAGAGUACAUAUGAACUUCUCUUGAGGAGAGCCUGUGACAGUGAGGGGUAAACUAUGAGGAGGAGGAGGGGGAAGGGGAAGGGAGGAGGAGAGAUCGAUGGAAAUGAAGCAUCAGACUCUACGCAAGAUAAGAUGUAUGACUCUUCAGGUCGUGAAAGUUCAACCCGCAGCUUUUGUCAAUGCAUGUCAUAAACGUUCAGAUUCCCUAUAUUACAUUUUAAGAAUUAAUUCUAAAUGAUCCUCUCAUUGGGACGUGAUUGUAAUCCAGACAGACGCCUAUCAUCCGGAUGAUCUACACCUUGUAAAGGUUCUGAUGGAGGUUUCUUGUAGUUUGGGUUUCUGCCCAGCCCUUCGUGCUUCUAUAUUAAAAUGAGCUCGCUGAGGGAGGGAGGCUCAGACAUGGCUAUGCAGCAAUGGAAAUAAAAGGCGCAGGCGCCUAAUUUCCAUGUUCCAAUCAUUUUGAUUUUUCUAGAAAUAGAUGAAUGCUAAUUAAGUUUUCACUAUAUUACACUUAUAUUUAUCACAAUUUAAUAUACGUGGUAUCACAAAUGCAUUUUGCGUCCAAUGAUUUUUGAUCGAUAAUGAUUUUGUUUUCAUGGCUUAUUGUCUAUUUAUCCCAGUUUAUGUGAUUUAUUUUGAGAAAUCCAUAACAGGGAAAUAAUAAUGUGGGACUAGGUAUACACCUUGAUUGAUUUUAUUCCACGUAGACAUGGGUUUGAAUUGUAUGGAAUUUAGCAAGAUCAAUUGCAUUAUCUUACAUUAUGUCAUUACACUUUGGUAGAAAAUUGUUUCUUUUUCCUCAUAGAAUUUGGAAAAGCCAUAUAUUUUUAACAGGGAUAGGUAGAUACAUAUUACAGAAAGAAAACAUCAGGAUUUACGCAGCAAUGGCACUUUAACAUGUGUUGUAUAAAUGCAGACCCAAACUACACUCAGCACCUUAUAUAUGUUUUGAAAGCAGCUCAUAUUUAAUCAAAUCAGUUUCUUUUAUUUAUUCAUUCUUGAAUAUGAAGAAGCACUUAUUUUUAAUCUUGUCACUUUAUCUGGCUGUCAUGCAGAAAAUUUGAAUUACUUGAAUGCAGCUAUUGAAUCGAGAUCGUUUGACCAAAUAUUGAAACUAUCGCUAAAUCCGCACCUGUGUCCAGGUGCGGAUGAAGUAGGUAUUUAAACCUGCUUGAGCGAUAGUGCUCAUUUUCAUAUGUAUAUAGUGUAACCGAAAUGAAUGAAAUUAUUGUACAGAAAUAUGAAGCUUUUGCAGGAUAGCCCAAAUCACUCUGACCAGCCAUUUCAAAUUUAGACGUGGCAAAAGAAAUAUUAUGUGUUACUCAGAGAGAGAACGAGAGAGAGAAAAAGAUUGCACAAGAGAGAGAGAGAGAGAGAGGGAGAGACAGUGAGCAAAAGAAAAGACUUAAUUUAAUCAGAGUUAUUUGUUGAGUAUAUAUGUCAAAUAUAGAUUACUACUACAAAAUUAUAGAUUUUAUGAUUAUCAUUGGUUGUGUGUGUUUGUGUGCCUGAGUGUGUAUAGUUUGAUUUGGAAUUGGUUGGGCUCAAAGGUCAAAGUUCAAAUUGAUAUGACACCGUGCUUUAAAUGUGAUAGAGCAAGUUUGGGAAAAAUAUAUGUGCUGAGUAUAGAUUAUACAAGACCAGAAAAUAGAAUAAAUCAAGAAAUAUUUUAGGGAUCAGGUAUUAAUAAGUUUAUCACCUUGUACUAGAAACAGAGAGGGUCAAAGGUCAAAUGUCACACGACCUUUACUCAACUUUAUCUGUCAAUUUUCACCUCAGCACAACAGAUAUUGUGCUUGAAAGCCUAGAAUUGGAGUGCUACCCUUUGUAAAGUUUAUUACAAAUGAAUAUGAGAGGGAUAUAAUUAUUUAGUGUUCAAUAUCAAAGGGGGAAAAAUGGAGACAUUAGCUUUUUUUUUGUUUGAUUGAUUGGAAUUCCCCUUAGUUUGGUGUUCUGCAGACAAUCAACUCAUCGGUUUAAUUUUAUUAUAAUUUGUUUCAGCCCCAAAAGGACAUUGAUUCAUUUCUUUAGAUGAGCGAUGUGUUCUGAUCUACAGAGCAAGAUGGAGUGUUUGGUAGCAUGUGAACAUACCUCAUGCUAGACCAGUGAUACAUGCACCAAUCAUACUCUGUUAGAUACUUCAGAACAAAUGCAUCACUCUUAAUUAGAUUCAUACCUACAAAUCAGUAGCCAUAUACAUAUUUCAGCAUUUUUGAAAUACAGAUCUGUUUUUUUUUAAUCUCUAAUUAAAUUACUCUGUAAUUAAAUAACUAAUAAUUUGUCAGUCAUGUUUUAGAUUGUUGUUUUUUUCCUUGCCAAUGUGCAAAGUUUAAAUAGGUAAAUUUGGAUCUUCAUGCAGAAUUUGUCACUUUUUUGUCAUUCUCUUUGUUUUGAUCCUGCCACAGCUAGCAUUAUGUUUUGACCAAA
This is an RNA transcript of Strongylocentrotus purpuratus (purple sea urchin), 9552 nucleotides long. It is a transcript of the gene named beta-adrenergic receptor kinase 2, with no coding region annotated. The transcript has 21 exons. The record is from RefSeq and is a predicted model, not a curated record. NCBI's taxonomy places the organism in Eukaryota, Metazoa, Echinodermata, Echinoidea, Camarodonta, Strongylocentrotidae.